AACAAUAUCAAAGAGAAACAGAGGAGAUGAAUACCACUCAAGAGAACACUGAACACAGGCAGUCAGUCAUCCUCCGGGCGUGGGAUGCUCCGGGACAUGUUGUUUCUAACAUGAGCAACUGUCUGCCUCAAAGACAGAUGGAACCCGAGAACCAAAACAUAAGCCUUUGUCAUGGCGCUCAGAUGCAAAUUUCGGGAGGUGUGUGAGAGAGAGGGGGGAAGACUGGGGAGGAAGGUGAGGGUAACUCCACACAAAACCACAACGGAUGUAUUCUGAGGAUCAGGAUGUUUUUUUUCAAGAAUCAGAUUUUUUUUCAUGAGGAAAAAAACUUGUCCACUCAGUUACUCUGCAAAACAGAGAUAAAAAAAAAAAUAUCUGACAUAAAAUUAUUUUUAGCUAAAUCAACUCCUCAACCUGACAAAACAAUGACCAAAAACUGUUUACCUAUUUCAUCAAGUUUUGGAAGUAAGGAGCAUAAAAACAUCCAUGGCAGUUUAUUUAGCUGCUAUGGCUAACAGUUAACGGUUAGCACACAAAUUGUGUUGCCAGAUCUUGCAAGAGAAACAGGCAAGUGGGCCUAUGACAACAAGCCCAAAACAAGUGACUUCUCUGGUCAUGGUAAAAAAAAAAAAAAAAAGAUGUUACACUUUGCACCCUGAAUCCAGAAUUGUAUUGCAUUAUAUCAUUAUAUUCAUAAUUGUUUUUAUAUGUUGUGACCCUUUUUUGUUUUAGUUCCAAGUUUUCUAAACAAUGUGACACAACACAAUAGGAGGAGGAAGGCACCAAAUAUAAAAACAUAUUCAACUACAUUACAAUUAGUUGAAAAAGAAGUUCUUAAAUAUCUUUUUAAAAUAUCUGAAACAUAUGUAUUUACUUAUAAACGACUUUACAGAGAAUCAAGCCCAAAGUCGCUUAUAAAAAGCGGACCUGGCAACUAUUAGCACACAAUAAAAUUAGCUCCUUUCAUAAUUAGCUGACAUGGAGCGUCGUUUUUACCAGUUUACCUGGCAAACGAAACUCGGCAGCGAAGGUUUAUCUUGACGAAUACCAGCUGCAGAAGGUCAUUCUAAGGAACUGGCCUUCGGGGGCUUUACUGCUUUUAAGAAUCAAUGUAAUGCAGCAGCUCUGACAGAGCGAAGCAACACCCCGCUGGCCUUGAAGAAAGCAACCAGGAACGGCUGUUUGGACUGAGGCCCAUUCCUCCCAAUGAUUCCAGCAGACUUUAUGUUGAUACUUCGUCCUUUCAAAAACGGGAGAGCUGCAGGCCCAAGUUCUGCUGUGGGUUCAUCACCCAGUGGUUACUGGUGGCUGUGAUGUCAAACACUAGCCAGCCCCCAUCGGACGCCUGGACCUUUUUGGAGUCAAGCAAGAACGUCUCUGCGUCUCUAAAGGUACAUUCACCUUUGGCCCCGGAGGUCCCUGGAUGCCGGGUUGUCCAUUCAUACAUUUGCAAGAUGCUUUUCCAGCAGUUAGACCGAUCUCAGCAUACCCUCCGCACUGCCUCGGACAGAGAGGUG
Molecule: long non-coding RNA, 1517 nt
Organism: Acanthopagrus latus (yellowfin seabream)
Lineage: Eukaryota; Metazoa; Chordata; Actinopteri; Spariformes; Sparidae
Exons: 5
Source: RefSeq, a predicted model, not a curated record